UUGUUGCAUCAUCAUCUAUUAUUGUUGUUGCAUUUGUUGUUGUUGAUGCAUCUCUUGUUACAACACUUGCAACAUUUGUUGAUGUUGCAAAGCUUAUUGUGCUUGUUGAGCUUGUUGGUAUUGCAUCAUUCGAACUCACAUAUUGAUAUUAGAAUUGCUUUAUGGAACUGGAAUAAAAUUCCUAGUCCUCUAUAGUUCUCAGCCGUUAUAUCAUUUUUAUCAUGCACACAUAUCGAGUUG
Molecule: long non-coding RNA, 240 nt
Filed under: Lathyrus oleraceus (garden pea)
Lineage: Eukaryota; Viridiplantae; Streptophyta; Magnoliopsida; Fabales; Fabaceae
Description: Pisum sativum (pea) long non-coding RNA (PSAT_LNC003417)
Source: RNAcentral